GGGGAAUAUUGCACAAUGGGGGAAACCCUGAUGCAGCAACGCCGCGUGAGGGAUGACGGCCUUCGGGUUGUAAACCUCUUUUGGCAGGGAAGAAGCGAGAGUGACGGUACCUGCAGAAAAAGCGCCGGCUAACUACGUGCCAGCAGCCGCGGUAAUACGUAGGGCGCGAGCGUUGUCCGGAAUCAUUGGGCGUAAAGAGCUCGUAGGCGGUUUGUCGCGUCUGCUGUGAAAGCCUGGGGCUCAACUCCGGGAUUGCAGUGGGUACGGGCUGACUAGAGUGCGGUAGGGGUGACUGGAAUUCCUGGUGUAGCGGUGGAAUGCGCAGAUAUCAGGAGGAACACCGAUGGCGAAGGCAGGUCACUGGGCCGCAACUGACGCUGAGGAGCGAAAGCAUGGGGAGCGAACA
Molecule: ribosomal RNA, 406 nt
Filed under: uncultured Actinomycetales bacterium
Lineage: Bacteria; Bacillati; Actinomycetota; Actinomycetes; Actinomycetales
Description: bacterial SSU rRNA
Rfam family: Bacterial small subunit ribosomal RNA
Source: RNAcentral